This 886-nucleotide ribosomal RNA is filed under the name Nematoda environmental sample. RNAcentral describes it as "SSU rRNA". It matches the Rfam family "Eukaryotic small subunit ribosomal RNA", at positions 111 to 1002 of the family's 1831-position model. The record is from RNAcentral. Lineage: Eukaryota; Metazoa; Nematoda.
UAUAAUUUACUUGAUCUUGACACAAUCCUACUUGGAUAACUGUGGUAAUUCUAGAGCUAAUACAUGCAUUAAAGCUCUGACCUCACGGGAAGAGUGCAUUUAUUAGAACAAAACCAAGCGGCUUCGGCUGUUUCUGGUUGACUCAUAGUAACUGAGCUGAUCGCAUGGUCUUGCACCGGCGACGUGUCUUUCAAGUAUCUGCCGUAUCAACUUUCGAUGGUAGUGUAUCUGACUACCAUGGUGAUCACGCGUAACGGAGAAUAAGGGUUCGGCUCCGGAGAGUUCGCCUGAGAAAUCGCGAACACAUCUAAGGAAGGCAGCAGGCGCGAAAAUUACCCACUCUCAGCACGAGGAGGUAGUGACGAAAAAUAACGAGACCGUUCUCUUAUGAGGCCGGUCAUCGGAAUGGGUACAAUUUAAACCCUUUAACGAGUAUCUAUGAGAGGGCAAGUCUGGUGCCAGCAGCCGCGGUAAUUCCAGCUCUCAAAGUGCAUAGAAUUAUUGCUGCGGUUAAAAAGCUCGUAGUUGGAUCUGUGCCAUAGGACGUGGUCCACCUUCGGGUGCGUACUACGCUCCUAGGCUUUUUGCUGGUUUUCCCGUCGUAGCCUUCACUGGUUGCGGCGGGUGGCUGGCGAGUUUACUUUGAGAAAAUCAGAGUGCUCAAUACAGGCGUAUCGCUUGAAUGAUUGUGCAUGGAAUAAUAGAAAAGGAUUUCGGUCCUCUUUUAUUGGUUUUGUGGACUGAGAUAAUGGUUAACAGGGACAAACGGGGGCAUUCGUAUCUCUGCGUGAGAGGUGAAAUUCUUGGACCGUAGAGAGACGCCCUACUGCGAAAGCAUUUGCCAAGAAUGUCUUCAUUAAUCAAGAACGAAAGUCAGAGGUUCGAA